This 253-nucleotide ribosomal RNA is filed under the name uncultured Eubacteriales bacterium. Its description in RNAcentral is "uncultured Clostridiales bacterium partial 16S ribosomal RNA". It matches the Rfam family "Bacterial small subunit ribosomal RNA", at positions 524 to 776 of the family's 1533-position model. The record is from RNAcentral. Lineage: Bacteria; Bacillati; Bacillota; Clostridia; Eubacteriales.
UACGUAGGGGGCAAGCGUUGUCCGGAAUGACUGGGCGUAAAGGGAGUGUAGGCGGCUCAUCAAGUUAGAUGUGAAAUCCCGCGGCUUAACCGCGGAACUGCAUCUAAAACUGGUAAGCUGGAGUGCAGGAGAGGUGAGUGGAAUUCCUAGUGUAGCGGUGGAAUGCGUAGAUAUUAGGAGGAACACCGAUUGCGAAGGCAUCUCACGAAUCCGCGAUUGACGCUGAUGCACGAAAGCGUGGGUAUCAAACAGG